GAGUUUGAUCGAUGGCUCAGGAUGAACGCUAGCUACAGGCUUAANACAUGCAAGUCGAGGGCAGCAUGGUCUUAGCUGCUAAGGCCGAUGGCGACCGGCGCACGGGUGAGUAACGCGUAUCCAACCUGCCUUACACUCUUGGACAGCCUUCUGAAAGGGAGAUUAAUACAAGAUGUUAUCAUGAGUAAGCAUUUUCGCAUGAUUAAAGGUUUACCGGUGUAAGAUGGGGAUGCGUUCCAUUAGAUAGUAGGCGGGGUAACGGCCCACCUAGUCUUCGAUGGAUAGGGGUUCUGAGAGGAAGGUCCCCCCACAUUGGAACUGAGACACGGUCCAAACUCCUACGGGAGGCAGCA
RNAcentral lists this ribosomal RNA (353 nucleotides) under uncultured bacterium. Its description in RNAcentral is "bacterial SSU rRNA". It matches the Rfam family "Bacterial small subunit ribosomal RNA", at positions 9 to 353 of the family's 1533-position model. The record is from RNAcentral.